RNAcentral lists this ribosomal RNA (119 nucleotides) under Pteropus alecto (black flying fox). Lineage: Eukaryota; Metazoa; Chordata; Mammalia; Chiroptera; Pteropodidae. The record is from RNAcentral.
GUCUACUGCCAUGCUACCCUGAACAAGCCCGAUCCCAUCUGAUCUUGGAAGCUAAGCAGGGUCAGGCCUGGUUAGUACUUAGAUGGGAGACCACCUGGGAAAACCAGGUGCUGUAGAUG